CCGACAGAGUGAAGCGCGGGGUGGGAGGGGGGGACUUCCCUCAGAGCCUGGGAGGCGUGAGGUUCUGGUCAACAGAGGACAGAGAGGGGAGGCCAAGAAAGGCCAAGAAAAGUCAAGAAAGAGGAGUGGUGGAAGAGAAGAAUUGGGAGCGAAAGGAGAAUCGGAAAUCAACUAUUCACUCAAAACUACUGUCAGAGAGAUCCUGGGAUCGCAUGCAGAUGGAGAAUUGAGAGGAUCUGGCAAGUUCAGAGGUUUGCCCAAAAUUAUACAACCACAACUAAUGAGCUGGGACUCGAACUGGCAGCCGGACACCAAGCUCUUCCAUGCUUGAGCCCCAGGUGCUCGCCCAUCCCCAGUACCCCUCCCGGAGACCUCGAAGGAAACCGUGGCUGGCAGAGGAGCGAACCCGAGUAUCCAUCCACCCACUGCCCUCGCCCAGGCGUCCAUGAGCGCCUGCCCCCACCCACCCCCCCCCCUCCCGCGGGAGAGAGCGCUCGCUCCCCGGCCGCCGCGUGGCGUCUCUGUCAGCCCAGCCGGAUUCUCCCCGCUUCGCUGGAGUGGAAAAUAACGGCUUCAAACUUUGCAGAGAAGAGCUGCUGCCAGCACUUUAAUUAACAGCCAUCUUAGCCUGUGAGCUGGGGCCACCCGCACCGCGCCUCCCCUCGGCUCGCCAGGUCCCGCCUCCUAUCACGCCCAGGCCCGAAGGAUCCGAACACCCCCCCCCCCCCCCCCGCUGCUUCAGUCAGCUGCUGUGCACACCCCAUGCACCUCCAUCACCACCUGACCCAGACAUGAAAGUCUGCCUGGUAGUGACUGGGAGUGCUGCCUUGGGAGACAGCUCCCAGGUUUAAUACCCAAAGACCCCCAGACCUUCCACCACACUCAUUCACUCCAAAGUCUGCAGCCUGGCCUGCGGAGAUUCUAGAAUUAGAGUUCUGCUGGCCAAACCCUAUCUUGUGAUUUUUAGACUCAUCUCUUAAUCUGCAGCGCCUCAAGUGUCCUACUCUGGAAAAGGGGU
Long non-coding RNA from Erinaceus europaeus (western European hedgehog), 1018 nucleotides. RefSeq lists it as uncharacterized. The transcript has 3 exons. Lineage: Eukaryota; Metazoa; Chordata; Mammalia; Eulipotyphla; Erinaceidae. The record is from RefSeq and is a predicted model, not a curated record.